RNAcentral lists this long non-coding RNA (2100 nucleotides) under Homo sapiens (human). RNAcentral describes it as "HSALNT0070178". Lineage: Eukaryota; Metazoa; Chordata; Mammalia; Primates; Hominidae. The record is from RNAcentral.
GUCCUUUUGCACUCCGUGGAAGCUUUGUUCUUUAGCCCUUUGCGAUAAAUCUUGCUGCUCCUCACUUUUUGGGUCCGUGCUGCCUUUAUGAGCUGUAACACUCACUGCGAGGGGACGCAGCUUCACACCUGAAGCCAGCGAGACCACGAACCCACCAGAAGGAAUGAACAACUGCUGACGGUCCACCUUUAAGAGCUGUAACACUUACCGCAAAGGUCUGCAGCUUCAUUCCUGAAGUCAGCAAGACCAUGAACCCACCGGAAGGAAGAAACUCCAGACACAUCUGAACAUCUGAAAGAACAAACUCUGGACACACCAUCUUUAAGAGCUGUAAUACUCACCCUGAAGGUCUGCGGCUUUAUUCUUGAAGGCAGCGAGACCAAGAACCCACUCAUUCCGGACACACCACAACACUUGGCUAAUUUUUGUAUUUUUGGUAGAGAUGGGGUUUCUCUACUACAGCGGGGCUGGUCUUGAAUUCCUGACCUCAGGUGAUCUGCCUGCCCGCCUUGGCCUUCCAACGUGCUAGGACUACGGGUGUGAGCCACCACGCCCAGCUGAAAGUUUCUUAAUCUUAAGUGAGCCCUGGUAUGAGGUGUAGGUGUAAGAAUGCUUUUAUUGUUCGAUCAGACUUUAGGGUUUGAGAAAACCCAGGCGGGAUCUUAAUGGGUUUGUUUUCUCAUUCCAGCCCUCAUACUCAGGCACCGGUUUCUCCAGUUCUCUAAUGUUUAACUUAUGACUUCAUAAUUAUAGUAAAGGGUUAGUGGAAACUGUUCUGGUUGCUAAUGGAAACCUGGCCUGCUACAAUGGUGUCCCAUAAGUCUCUUAGGAUCUGUUUACUUUUCUUAAAUUGUUUUUCUAUUUCUCAGAUUCAAAAAUUUCCAUUAUUUUGCCUUCAAAUUUGUUAAUUCAUUCUUCUACUUGCUCAAAUCUCCCUUUGAAUACUUCCAGUGAAGUUUUCAUUUUAGUUACUGCGUUUUUCAGCUCCAGACUUUGUUUUAGGUUUCUUUUUAGCUCUUCUACCUUUUUAUUGGUAUUUCCGUUUUGACUUUCUUCAUCUUUUUUUAGUUCUUUUGGCAUCUUUAAGACAGUUUAGUAGAUCCGCCAUCAAGUCUGUUUCAGGGACAGUUUCUGUUUACUGUUUUUCCUUUGACUAGGCCAUAUUUUCCUGUUUCCUUAUAUGCUUUAUGAUUUUUUUUUGUCAUUGAAAAGCAAACAUUUGAAUACAAUAAUGUGAUAACUCUGGAAAUAAGAUUCUCCUUCUUCCCAAGAAAAGAGAAAAAGAAAAAAUGAAGCAGGGAGCGAAAGGUGCUGGCUUUUUAAAUCCCGCAAAGUCACUUGAGCUGGAGGAGUUUGCAACAACUGAGGGUAGGAUAAAGGCUUACCUCCUCAGCAGGACUCCUCAGAUGGGGCAUGAUAUGCCCUGUUCUUGCAUCUGCAGGAUCACAGAUGACAAAUUCCUCAUCUCAACACAUCCAUGUUGUUUUCUCUGUCUGUGGGUCGCACCUGACUUUUUAAAGCUUCAGGGCCUUUGCACAGGCUGUUUCCUCUGCUUGGAAUGCUUUCUGCCCUCUCUGCCUGGACAAUUUGCAUUCUUUUUUUUUUUUUUUUUGAGAUGGAGUUUUGCUCCUGUUGCCCAGGCUGGAGGGCAAUGAUGUGACCUUGGCUCACCGCAACCUCCGCCUCCUGGGUUCAAGCAAUUCUCCCACCUUAGCCUCCCGAGUAGCUGGGAUUACAGGUAUGCACCACUAUGCCCGGCUAAUUUUGUAUUUUUAGUAGAGAUGGGGUUUCUCCAUGUUGGUCAGGCUGGUCUUGAACUCCUGACCUCAGGUGAUCUGCCUGCCUUGGCCUCCCAAAGUGCUGGGAUUGCAUUUAUUUUUAAGGUUUUUGUCUAAAUGUUUCUUUCUCAGAGAGGCAUUCCCUAACCCUCAAUGUAGAUCAAGGCCACUUGUUAUAUGCUCUCACAAUGCCUGUCGUCUGUAGCUGGCCUUUUCAGCACUUAUCAUCGUGAUAACAACAUAGUUAUUUAUGUGUUUAGCUGUUCAGUGCCUGUCUCUCUCCCUCUGCCACGUUUUAUGAAGGCAAGAACUAUGGCUAUUU